RNAcentral lists this ribosomal RNA (400 nucleotides) under uncultured bacterium. RNAcentral's name for it is "bacterial SSU rRNA". It matches the Rfam family "Bacterial small subunit ribosomal RNA", at positions 355 to 747 of the family's 1533-position model. The record is from RNAcentral.
UGGGGAAUUUUGGACAAUGGGGGGAACCCUGAUCCAGCAACGCCGCGUGAAUGAAGAAGGCCUUAGGGUUGUAAAGUUCUUUUGUUAGGGAGCAAAGUUUACGUGCUAAUACCAUGUAGAGCUGAGAGUACCUAAAGAAUAAGCACCGGCUAACUACGUGCCAGCAGCCGCGGUAAUACGUAGGGUGCGAGCGUUAAUCGGAAUUACUGGGCGUAAAGGGUGCGUAGGCGGGUAUAUAAGUUAGGAGUGAAAUCCCCGAGCUCAACUUGGGAAUAGCUUUUAAGACUGUAUGUCUAGAGUCAGAUAGAGGGGGGUAGAAUUCCAAGUGUAGCAGUGAAAUGCGUAGAGAUUUGGAGGAAUACCGAUGGCGAAGGCAGCCCCCUGGGUCAUGACUGACGCU